UUGACGCAUCAAAAUAGCCGAGUAUAAAUUCAAGCAUGUGACGUUCAUAUUGAACAGACGACGCUGAUUGACAGUAAAGGCUGAUUCAGCAAGCUGAUUGAUGACUCACCUGAGGUCACCGCAUCCGAAAUCCCAGCUAAACCGAUAGCGAUCUGGGACUCAAAGUCAACUAAGCCGAUAGGAAUAUCGUGGCAGCCACUCGAAGAAGUCUUUAAGUUCAAAAUAGACAGAUCUCUUGCCCCUACUCAAAUCGCUAUUCAAGGUCCCAAUCGAACGAAUUAUACAUUGGUCUGAUUCGAAAAUUACCCUUCAUUAGAUCCGAUCCCACUCUACGUCGCUAUCAACAUUCGUUGCGAACCGAGUCUGGUGACCAAGGUCUGGUAAUGGUACGUAGCGGAAAAAUCACAAAACAGAACCCAGCAGACAUUGUUUCGAGAGGAAAUCGUGCAGUUGAUCAGGUUUGGUAGACCAGAGUUUUUAAGGAUGAAAAAGAGAUCUGGCCCAAAAAUCUGCGAAGAAAAUCGGAAGAUGAAGACCAAAUGAUUUAGUGCAUACAAUCGAGGUAUACUCGUCACACCUCAAACUGCUAAGAGUAUUCGUUUUCCGUCUCAUCCGCAAACGUCAAGCGGUUGCGAGCUUUCCUUCGACAGCUCUUCUCACCGCAGAUGAGCUGGAGACCGUGCAGGUCGGGUCUCGCGUCCGCUAAGACCACUAAGCCCAGACCGAAGCCACGGAGACGCGUUACCUCCCGAGCACCGGAUAACAGGCGGGCCGCUCACCGCACCCCCUCUAAAAAACAAAUAUGGUGGACUCUUAUUUGCUUAUUACUCUGCAACUUUUAAUGUCGAUAUUCACCGCACACCAGCACAGUGGCUGUGCUUGUCUGCAUUUCUACCCAUCAAUUGACCAGAGCCUUUUUUGGCCAAUUGUCAAAGUUGUGGAAAAUCGUAAACAAUCAUCUAAGAGAAAUGGUGUCAGGUAAUUUAUUUUCGAUUGGGAUGCAUUUUUAAAAUUCCAUCUUAAAAAACCCACAUCAUGCAAUCUUUCUGGAAUGACGCCUUAAAUUAUAUACCACAAAAGACUUGUUAAUGCGUUGAUAUAAAGAUCCUGUUGUGAUAUUAUCACUUUGAGCAAACUCGAGGAGAGUCAUAAAAA
Drosophila pseudoobscura is the source of this 1155-nucleotide long non-coding RNA. RefSeq lists it as uncharacterized. NCBI's taxonomy places the organism in Eukaryota, Metazoa, Arthropoda, Insecta, Diptera, Drosophilidae. The transcript is spliced from 2 exons. The record is from RefSeq and is a predicted model, not a curated record.